GCUUGUCUCAAAGAUUAAGCCAUGCAUGUUCAAGUAUAGCAAGUGUACAGUGAAACUGCGAAUGGCUCAUUAAAUCAGUUAUCGUUUAUUUGAUAGUACCUUACUACUUGGAUAACCGUGGUAAUUCUAGAGCUAAUACAUGCUAAAAACCCCAACUUCGGGAGGGGUGUAUUUAUUAGAUAAAAAACCAAUGCCCUUCGGGGCUCUUUGGUGAUUCAUGAUAACUUAACGGAUCGCAUGGCCUUGCGCCGGCGACGGUUCAUUCAAAUUUCUGCCCUAUCAACUUUCGAUGGUAAGGUAUUGGCUUACCAUGGUUUCAACGGGUAACGGGGAAUUAGGGUUCGAUUCCGGAGAGGGAGCCUGAGAAACGGCUACCACAUCCAAGGAAGGCAGCAGG
This 397-nucleotide ribosomal RNA is filed under the name [Taeniolella] typhoides. RNAcentral describes it as "partial small subunit ribosomal RNA". It matches the Rfam family "Eukaryotic small subunit ribosomal RNA", at positions 30 to 432 of the family's 1831-position model. The record is from RNAcentral. Lineage: Eukaryota; Fungi; Ascomycota; Dothideomycetes; Pleosporales; Lindgomycetaceae.